This 1161-nucleotide ribosomal RNA is filed under the name Escherichia coli. RNAcentral describes it as "partial 23S ribosomal RNA". It matches the Rfam family "Bacterial large subunit ribosomal RNA", at positions 375 to 1543 of the family's 2925-position model. The record is from RNAcentral. Lineage: Bacteria; Pseudomonadati; Pseudomonadota; Gammaproteobacteria; Enterobacterales; Enterobacteriaceae.
GUACACAAAAAUGCACAUGCUGUGAGCUCGAUGAGUAGGGCGGGACACGUGGUAUCCUGUCUGAAUAUGGGGGGACCAUCCUCCAAGGCUAAAUACUCCUGACUGACCGAUAGUGAACCAGUACCGUGAGGGAAAGGCGAAAAGAACCCCGGCGAGGGGAGUGAAAAAGAACCUGAAACCGUGUACGUACAAGCAGUGGGAGCACGCUUCGGCGUGUGACUGCGUACCUUUUGUAUAAUGGGUCAGCGACUUAUAUUCUGUAGCAAGGUUAACCGAAUAGGGGAGCCGAAGGGAAACCGAGUCUUAACUGGGCGUUAAGUUGCAGGGUAUAGACCCGAAACCCGGUGAUCUAGCCAUGGGCAGGUUGAAGGUUGGGUAACACUAACUGGAGGACCGAACCGACUAAUGUUGAAAAAUUAGCGGAUGACUUGUGGCUGGGGGUGAAAGGCCAAUCAAACCGGGAGAUAGCUGGUUCUCCCCGAAAGCUAUUUAGGUAGCGCCUCGUGAAUUCAUCUCCGGGGGUAGAGCACUGUUUCGGCAAGGGGGUCAUCCCGACUUACCAACCCGAUGCAAACUGCGAAUACCGGAGAAUGUUAUCACGGGAGACACACGGCGGGUGCUAACGUCCGUCGUGAAGAGGGAAACAACCCAGACCGCCAGCUAAGGUCCCAAAGUCAUGGUUAAGUGGGAAACGAUGUGGGAAGGCCCAGACAGCCAGGAUGUUGGCUUAGAAGCAGCCAUCAUUUAAAGAAAGCGUAAUAGCUCACUGGUCGAGUCGGCCUGCGCGGAAGAUGUAACGGGGCUAAACCAUGCACCGAAGCUGCGGCAGCGACACUAUGUGUUGUUGGGUAGGGGAGCGUUCUGUAAGCCUGUGAAGGUGUACUGUGAGGUAUGCUGGAGGUAUCAGAAGUGCGAAUGCUGACAUAAGUAACGAUAAAGCGGGUGAAAAGCCCGCUCGCCGGAAGACCAAGGGUUCCUGUCCAACGUUAAUCGGGGCAGGGUGAGUCGACCCCUAAGGCGAGGCCGAAAGGCGUAGUCGAUGGGAAACAGGUUAAUAUUCCUGUACUUGGUGUUACUGCGAAGGGGGGACGGAGAAGGCUAUGUUGGCCGGGCGACGGUUGUCCCGGUUUAAGCGUGUAGGCUGGUUUUCCAGGCAAAUCC